UACGUAGGGUGCGAGCGUUGUCCGGAAUUAUUGGGCGUAAAGAGCUUGUAGGCGGUUUGUCGCGUCUGCUGUGAAAAUCCGGGGCUCAACCCCGGACUUGCAGUGGGUACGGGCAGACUAGAGUGUGGUAGGGGAGACUGGAAUUCCUGGUGUAGCGGUGGAAUGCGCAGAUAUCAGGAGGAACACCGAUGGCGAAGGCGGGUCUCUGGGCCGAUACUGACGCUGAGGAGCGAAAGCGUGGGGAGCGAACAGG
This 253-nucleotide ribosomal RNA is filed under the name uncultured bacterium. Its description in RNAcentral is "partial 16S ribosomal RNA". It matches the Rfam family "Bacterial small subunit ribosomal RNA", at positions 524 to 776 of the family's 1533-position model. The record is from RNAcentral.